This 814-nucleotide ribosomal RNA is filed under the name uncultured Veillonellaceae bacterium. RNAcentral's name for it is "bacterial SSU rRNA". It matches the Rfam family "Bacterial small subunit ribosomal RNA", at positions 59 to 844 of the family's 1533-position model. Lineage: Bacteria; Bacillati; Bacillota; Negativicutes; Veillonellales; Veillonellaceae. The record is from RNAcentral.
AAGUCGAACGGACAGACAGAGAGCUUGCUCUCUUGAAGUUAGUGGCGAACGGGUGAGUAACGCGUAAUCAACCUGCCCUUCAGAGGGGGAUAACAACGGGAAACCGUUGCUAAUACCGCGUACGAUUCAUGAACGGCAUCGUUUAUGAAUGAAAGGUGGCCUCUAUGUAUAAGCUAUCGCUGAAGGAGGGGAUUGCGUCUGAUUAGCUAGUUGGAGGGGUAACGGCCCACCAAGGCAAUGAUCAGUAGCCGGUCUGAGAGGAUGAACGGCCACAUUGGGACUGAGACACGGCCCAAACUCCUACGGGAGGCAGCAGUGGGGAAUCUUCCGCAAUGGACGAAAGUCUGACGGAGCAACGCCGCGUGAGUGAUGAAGGUCUUCGGAUUGUAAAGCUCUGUUAAUCGGGACGAAAGAGUUCUGCGUGAAUAAUGCAGAAAAGUGACGGUACCGGAAUAGAAAGCCACGGCUAACUACGUGCCAGCAGCCGCGGUAAUACGUAGGUGGCAAGCGUUGUCCGGAAUUAUUGGGCGUAAAGCGCGCGCAGGCGGCCUAUCCAGUCUGUCUUAAAAGUUCGGGGCUCAACCCCGUGAUGGGAUGGAAACUAGUAGGCUAGAGUAUCGGAGAGGAAAGCGGAAUUCCUAGUGUAGCGGUGAAAUGCGUAGAUAUUAGGAAGAACACCAGUGGCGAAGGCGGCUUUCUGGACGAAAACUGACGCUGAGGCGCGAAAGCCAGGGGAGCGAACGGGAUUAGAUACCCCGGUAGUCCUGGCCGUAAACGAUGGGUACUAGGUGUAGGAGGUAUCGACCCCUUCUGU